CACUCGUGUUAAACCCUUUUUUUUGCUGACGGGGCGGGGCGUUAAAUGUUAUGCGGGACUGGAGCGAUGGUCUCCCUGUUCAUUCACAAACGUGAGUCACGGUGCCGGGGCAUUUUGCUUAAUACUUUUCGUGCAUUAAAUUAAAGCCCAUCACGUGAUGAGAGUGUCAUUGCGAGCAUCUUAAAUAGUAGAACAACAAAAAAUGAGGUGCGAUGGGCGAUC
Molecule: long non-coding RNA, 222 nt
Filed under: Carica papaya (papaya)
Lineage: Eukaryota; Viridiplantae; Streptophyta; Magnoliopsida; Brassicales; Caricaceae
Description: long non-coding RNA (CPAP_LNC015832)
Source: RNAcentral